This 455-nucleotide ribosomal RNA is filed under the name uncultured bacterium. RNAcentral describes it as "SSU rRNA". It matches the Rfam family "Bacterial small subunit ribosomal RNA", at positions 26 to 518 of the family's 1533-position model. The record is from RNAcentral.
AGGACGAACGCUGGCGGCGUGCCUAAUGCAUGCAAGUCGCACGCACUCUUCGGAGUGAGUGGCGCACGGCUGAGGAGCACGUGGCUGACCUACCCCGGCGUGGGGGAUAACGGGCCGAAAGGCUCGCUAAUCCCGCAUACGAUCACCCUUGCGGGUGAGGAAAGCUUCGGCGCGCUGGGCGGGGCCGCGUCCCGAUUAGGUUGUUGGUGUGGUAAUGGCGCACCAAGCCGAUGAUGGGUUCCGGGUCUGAGAGGACGACCCGGCAGACUGGGACUGAGACACGGCCCAGACUCCUACGGGGGGCAGCAGCAAGGAAUUUUCGGCAAUGGGCGCAAGCCUGACCGAGCAACGCCGCGUGGAGGAUGACGGCUUUCGGGUUGUAAACUCCUUUUAGGUGGGACGAUAAUGACGGUACCAUCUGAAUCAGACCCGGCUAACUACGUGCCAGCAGCCGC